This 250-nucleotide long non-coding RNA is filed under the name Struthio camelus australis. Its description in RNAcentral is "lncRNA (ENSSCUG00000012143.1)". The record is from RNAcentral. Lineage: Eukaryota; Metazoa; Chordata; Aves; Struthioniformes; Struthionidae.
CAGGAGACAUCUUUGGUGCUCUGCUCGUUCACGUGGUCAGUGUCUAAGGGAGGAUAUGUGGAGCCAACAGCCACAGUCUAGGAGAUGGCAGCUGGCACAUCUACCUACAGUCCUGGUCACCUCUCCGCUCCUGUUUGACAGGGAAGUGUUGCUGAGUCUUUGCAGCAUCCCCUCUACAGCCUGCCUCACUCCGCGUAGCUCUGAAGAUCUGGCUCAGAGAAAUCAGAGGGCCGAGCUGCCUCCCAGCUUC